This 357-nucleotide ribosomal RNA is filed under the name uncultured Rivularia sp. Its description in RNAcentral is "bacterial SSU rRNA". It matches the Rfam family "Bacterial small subunit ribosomal RNA", at positions 292 to 667 of the family's 1533-position model. The record is from RNAcentral. Lineage: Bacteria; Bacillati; Cyanobacteriota; Cyanophyceae; Nostocales; Rivulariaceae.
CUGAACGGAUGAUCAGCCACACUGGGACUGAGACACGGCCCACACUCCUACGGCAGGCAGCAGUGGGGAAUAAUCCGCAAUGGGCGAAAGCCUCGGGGAGCAACGCCGCGAGAGGGAGGAAGGCUCUUGGGUUGUAAACCUCAGUUCUCAAGGAAGAUAAUGACGGUACUGAGGAAUCAGCAUCGGCUAACUCCGUGCCAGCAGCCGCGGUAAUACGGAGGAUGCAAGCGUUAUCCGGAAUAAUUGUGCGUACCGCGUUCGUAGGUGGUUUUUUAAGUCUGCUGUUAAAGCGUGUAGCUCAACUACAUAUAGGCAGUGGAAACUACAAAACUUGAUUGCGUUCGGGGUAGAGGGAAU